Molecule: transfer RNA, 84 nt
Filed under: bacterium (Candidatus Ratteibacteria) CG23_combo_of_CG06-09_8_20_14_all_48_7
Lineage: Bacteria; Candidatus Ratteibacteria
Description: tRNA-Leu
Rfam family: tRNA
About the family: Transfer RNA (tRNA) molecules are approximately 80 nucleotides in length.
Source: RNAcentral
GCCGAAGUGGUGGAAAUGGCAGACGCGCUGCGUUCAGGGCGCAGUGGGGGUAACCCCAUGGGGGUUCAAAUCCCCCCUUCGGCA